AUUCCAUGAGGUGGGCACUUUCUCAGCAUUUCCUUGUACCUUUCCCAAGCAUCUUACAAAGAUUCAGACUCUGGCUGCGUGAAGGACGAGAUGUCAUUUCUCAACUU
Small nucleolar RNA from Dioscorea cayenensis subsp. rotundata (Guinea yam), 107 nucleotides. The record is from RefSeq and is a predicted model, not a curated record. NCBI's taxonomy places the organism in Eukaryota, Viridiplantae, Streptophyta, Magnoliopsida, Dioscoreales, Dioscoreaceae.